This 497-nucleotide ribosomal RNA is filed under the name uncultured bacterium. Its description in RNAcentral is "partial 16S ribosomal RNA". It matches the Rfam family "Bacterial small subunit ribosomal RNA", at positions 28 to 507 of the family's 1533-position model. The record is from RNAcentral.
GAUGAACGCUGGCGGCGUGCCUAAUACAUGCAAGUCGAGCGAACAGACGAGGAGCUUGCUUCUCUGACGUUAGCGGCGGACGGGUGAGUAACACGUGGAUAACCUACCUAUAAGACUGGGAUAACUUCGGGAAACCGGAGCUAAUACCGGAUAAUAUAUUGAACCGCAUGGUUCAAUAGUGAAAGACGGUCUUGCUGUCACUUAUAGAUGGAUCCGCGCCGCAUUAGCUAGUUGGUAAGGUAACGGCUUACCAAGGCAACGAUGCGUAGCCGACCUGAGAGGGUGAUCGGCCACACUGGAACUGAGACACGGUCCAGACUCCUACGGGAGGCAGCAGUAGGGAAUCUUCCGCAAUGGGCGAAAGCUUGACGGAGCAACGCCGCGUGAGUGAUGAAGGUCUUCGGAUCGUAAAACUCUGUUAUUAGGGAAGAACAAAUGUGUAAGUAACUAUGCACGUCUUGACGGUACCUAAUCAGAAAGCCACGGCUAACUACGUG